GAUGAACGCUGGUGGCGUGCCUAACACAUGCAAGUCGAGCGAUUCUCUUCGGAGAGGAGCGGCGGACGGGUGAGUAACGCGUGGGUAACCUGCCCUGUACACACGGAUAACAUACCGAAAGGUAUGCUAAUACGAGAUAACAUGCUUUUAUCGCAUGGUAGAAGUAUCAAAGCUUUUGCGGUACAGGAUGGACCCGCGUCUGAUUAGCUAGUUGGUGAGGUAACGGCUCACCAAGGCGACGAUCAGUAGCCGACCUGAGAGGGUGAUCGGCCACAUUGGAACUGAGACACGGUCCAAACUCCUACGGGAGGCAGCAGUGGGGAAUAUUGCACAAUGGGCGAAAGCCUGAUGCAGCAACGCCGCGUGAGCGAUGAAGGCCUUCGGGUCGUAAAGCUCUGUCCUCAAGGAAGAUAAUGACGGUACUUGAGGAGGAAGCCCCGGCUAACUACGUG
Molecule: ribosomal RNA, 452 nt
Filed under: uncultured bacterium
Lineage: Bacteria
Description: partial 16S ribosomal RNA
Rfam family: Bacterial small subunit ribosomal RNA
Source: RNAcentral